AUGAAACUCAAGAUCCCAGACAAGAAACUUAAAGAUUUAUCACAAAACCUACCAGUUGAUGCUUCUGGGAGGACUAAUCUACAUCAACUGAUAAAAGAAGUAAAGAAGUUUACAGGAGGAGAAAUUGAAGCCAAAGACAUACAAAAAGUACUCAGAAAUAUGGGGAUAGAACUCACAAAUAGGGAACUUUGGGAGCUGCUGAAAAUGUUGCCAGUUACCGAUGAUGGAAAAGUAUAUAAAAAUAUAUUGCUUGAUAAUAUAAAAACAUCUCCUGUUGGGAAAUUCCAUGUCUCUAAAAUGAAUGCCAUCCUAGAAGAUAUGGAUUAUGAACUAGAGGAUGAAGAGGUUGAGGACCUGAGGAACCACCUGCCAACUGCUGAUGAAAAGAUUAAGCUGAAUACGAUGAUGAAAGAUGUAGAAUUAUUUACAGGAACCAAGACUAAUGUUAAUGAGAUAGAUGCUGUUUUGAAAAGCAUGGGAAUAGAGCUCACUCCUAAGGAACGCUGGGAGCUGCUAAAGACUCUGCCGGUUACUGCCGACGGAAAGGUGUAUCACAAUCGAUUACUAAACGCUUUAAAGAAUUUCCACAGAGGGAAGGCUUUUGAAAAUAAACUUGAAACUAUUCUGGAAAACAUGAACUAUGAACUUGGAGAAAAAGAAAUGAAAGAUUUACAGAACCACUUGAAAACUGAUGAUAAAGGAAGAGUUUCCCUGAAUUCUUUGAUAAAUGCAGCCAAUUUGUUUUCUGGUAAUAAGAUUAAUGCCAGUGACACACAACUUUACCUGAAAAAUAUAGGUAUUGAAUUAACAAAUAAUGAAAACCAGGAACUACUAGACACACUGCCACUGGAUGAUAAUAAAAGAGUGUAUGCAAACAGACUGAUGGAGGGGGUGAAGACCUAUGGAGGAGGACAGGUCAAUGUCAAUAAAAUAGAUGAUACUCUUGAAAACAUGGGAUUUUCACUUGAAGAAAAAGAAAUUGAGGAAUUGUAUAGUCACCUUCCAAUUAAUGAUGAAGGAAAAAUUCAACUGAAAUCACUUCUGGAUGAAGCAAAUAAAAUUUUAGGAGAAGAAAUUGACCGUGGUGACCUGGAAAAUGUUCUGCAAAGCAUAGGCUUAAGUCCCCACCUGAAGGAAAACUCUGUGCUGAUGAAGACUUUGCCACUUGACGCUACUGGAAAGUUGUAUAAGCAUAAAUUGCUGGAUGGCAUAAAGUCUCUCCCAGGUUUGAAGCUUAAUGUUCGCAAGCUAGAACCCUUCAUGGACUACAUGGGCUUUCACCUUGGAGAAGAGGAAUUCCAAGACCUGACAGACAGCCUGCCCGUGGAUAAGGAAGGAAUGGUUAAUAUGAAUGUGGUAAUGGAUGCAGGAGAUCUUUUUACAGGUGAGAAGGUUGCCACUAGUAACCUGGAAGAUUUCCUGGAAACUAUGGGGAUAAGCCUCACCGAGGAUAAAGCCAAGAAACUACGGCAUAAUCUGCCAGCUGAUGCCAAAGGAAGUGUGUAUAAGAACAGAUUGAUGAAAGCCCUGGAGAGUCUCAAAGGGACAAAGGUGUCUUCAGAUAAGGCGGAAAUUUUUAUUAAAAAUGCAGGAAUUGAUCUCAAGAAGAAAGAAAUCCAAGCACUGAAGGACCAUCUGCUAGUUGACGAUAAUGGGAAGGUUGAUUUGAAUGUGUUGAUGGCUGAAAUUAAAAAGAUUACAGGAGAAAAGUUUCAUGCUGGGGACCUGAAAAAUGUUUUGGGCAACAUGGGAAUACACAUCACAGACAAAGAGCACAAAAAGCUGCUGAAAACUCUGCCCAUUUCUGGAGGAAAGGUCAAUAUCCGUGACUUAAAAAAUGUGUUACAAAACACUGGCUUCACACUUGAAGAAACAGAAAUCAAAGACCUGCAGGCUCACCUACCAGCUAAUGAAUAUGAAAAGGUUGACUUGGAUGUGCUGAUGGAUGAAGCAAAAGCUUUCACAGGAGAAAAGGUUGCAGCCACGAACCUAAAACAUGUGCUGGAAGACAUGGGAAUCAGACUCACUGCAGAAGAAUAUUCGAGGCUGUUGAAAACUCUGCCCAUCUCUAGAGAUGGAAUGGUGUAUAAGAAAAGAUUACUGGAUGGUGUGAAGGCUCUCAAAGGGAAAAAAGUCUAUGUUCAUGAGCUAGAAACACUUAUGGAGAGCUUGGAACUUGAACUUGGAAAAGGGGAUUAUGAAGACCUACUCAGCUAUCUGCCAGUUGAUGAGAAUGAAAUGGUUGAUUUAAAUGAGGUGAUGGAUGAAGCAAACACUUUUACAGGAGAGAAGGUUGAUGUUGGUGACCUGGACAAGGUCCUGUGGAAAAUGGGGCUUACACUCAGUGAUGGGGAACAGAAGAAGCUGCUCCGAGCUCUCUCCCCGUACACCGACAGGAAGGUGUAUAAGAAGAGGGUGCUGCAGAGUGUGAAGGGCCUCCAUGGACCACGGGUCAAAGUAAAAAAAGUGGAAUCUCUUUUGGAAAAUAUGGGAAUUAAAAUUACAGACGAAGAACUUGAGGAAGUAAUGACCCAACUACCAACUGACAGUGAUAGAACUGUCGCUCUGAAGGAUCUAAUAGACACGGUCAGUUAUGUCAAGGGAGAGGUGAUUGAUACCGAGAACUUAGUCAACUUUCCAGCAAGAGAGGGGAUUGAACUCACAGAAGAAGAAAUAAAGGACCUGAUGCCUCAUUUGACAUAUAAUGGAAAAGGAAAAGUUACUGUGGAUUCAGUAAUGGAGGGUCUGAAGAAGAUUACACACCCAGUCACUGGCCACAUGGCAGUUUCAGAACUCAAAUCAAAACUUAAACUGAACCCUCUAAAAGUACCUGUCUUCCACAGCAAGAGGGAUAAAGAUCUACCGAGGUCCCUUCCAGGCCAGCCACACCACAAAGAAAAGUUGAGCCCACCACAAAUGGAAGCCUUCCAAGACGCCUACAACUUCUUCAGCAAGGACAAAACUGGAUGUAUUGAUCUGAAUGGGAUGAUGAGUACUUUGGCUAAGUUAGGAAUGAGUCUAACCAAGCACGAUGUCUAUAAUGAACUAAAAUGUGCUGACCUUGAUCGAGAUGGGAAGGUGAACUUCUCAGACUUCUUAAAGGUGCUGACAGAUAAGAACCGCUUCCUCAAAGCUGUGGUUCCGGAAAAGGACAUCUGUUUAAAUUUAAGUGACAACGCAGGGAUCCUAUUAUUUGAAAUCCUAUCAAAGCUUAUAGAGACUUCAGCCCUACCCAGAAAGACUAUAAUGGACAUAGUAAGCUACUUCCGAAGAAAAUUCCAGGAUAUCAGUGCAGAAAUGCUGUGGAAUCCGAGUGCUGUGGGUUAUGGGAAAAGAAGGUUUAAGCCAGAUGUGUGCACGACUUCCAGCUCAAGCACAGCGGCCUUCGCCAGUGCUGCCCGCAUUGCAAUUACAAGUGAAAAGGAUUUAUUUAAAUUUCUUGAAGAGCUUAAGAGGUGCAAUUUCCCUUCAGACAGCCCGUACUCGAAAAUACCCAUCUUCCCGUUGUUCCCUAACAUGGAUGGUAUGGUGAUGGGAAAACCUUUCAAAGACACACAGAAAUUAGAGAUGCUAAGGAGAAAAGAGCCCCUGAAUUUCUUUGAGGACUACUUUUUCCAUAGAAGAGACUGGAAAGCACAGGCAGCCAAUGUAAAGCCUAUCAACCCUCCCUUGAGCUACUCGGAUGACAUCCUUAUCCUCGACCAAAUACUCAAGAAAAAGCAGAUGUGGACAGUGGCCGACACAGCUGCUGUUAAGCAGCAGGUGAAGAGAGCUACAGACACCUAUCAUUUAGGAAUUGCCCUUGAACACCAGAAAGGAAUGCUCAAUCUCUGGCAGAAGAUCCGAGGGGAUUUGAUUGGAAUAGACACUAAAAAUGAGUCUUUCUAUGACACCUUUUCUACUUAUACCUGGUCCUGGAACGUUUGCCAAGAAUUGCUCUCUCCGAAGGACUUACGGUUGUUUAAUGCUUACGUGAACAGAAAUUCCUACCCCACCUAUGGCUUCUCUUCCUCAUCAGAUAACAGUGAAUGUGACUCCGAGACCGAAAGGAAAAGAAAACGGAAAAAUUGCAAAGGGUUUCGACAAUGAAAUUUCUACAUUUUCUAAACAGCUCAUCGAAAACUACUUUUUCAUAAGUAUCAAAAUUAUGGUUUCUUGCUUUUCUCUAGUACAUUCUUAGCAGCUGGAAAUGUUGACAUCUUUUGGAUUCCAGCCAGUAAAACAGCUUAACUCAUAAAAUGGUUUCGUUUUCCUAAAUCUUGACAAGUCGGCAGACGUCAUGCGGUUAGUUCCAGCUGUAUUCUGCUGCCCCCGCCUGGCAUAAAAGUGACAGGCCUCAGCAGGAAAGGGAGAAAUCACGCCCUCUGAGACCCUAAGGGAUAAACAGUUGAGCUUUGGGUGACUGUAAGUGAAAUUCAGUUUUCAAAUGCUGUGAAAUAAGCCAGAGGCAGCAGAUGACUAUAAACUUGCCAUUUCGGGGGGUGAUAUCACCAACCCCGCCCCAGGAACCUUGUUUAAAUGUGGGCGUAUUCCUGAGGCUCCACAGCCAUACACCUCCACACCUAUUGCAUGGAUUUCUCUUACAAAUAGUCGAUCUCAUCCAUUAAAUGUUGUUAUUCUUUAAUGAAUCUAAUAUAUAUAUAUAUGAUAUAAAUAUAUCAUAUAUAUGGCAAGUUUGUGCUAGGAUUGUAAUUUUUACUAUGGUAAAAUUUACAUGACAUAAAAUUUACUAUUUUUUAAAUUUUUAUUAUAAUUUACUAUUGAUUAAUGUUAAAGUAUACAUCAAUCAUUGCAUUUUUAUUCUUCCUAGUCCCACUCCUGGGAUUCAUAGGGCAUUUUUCCAUGGGUCUUGAGGGUUGAUCACACAGAAACAGACAACUUUUGGACUUUACCAAAUUUUUUAAUUGUUUAAUUUAAUUAGUAUAAUUUAGAUAUCUACAGUGACCCCAUUCAUCAUAGGGAAUUUGCACCUGUACAUAAUAUACCUUGAUUUGUCUUUUUCCCCUCCCUUCAACCCCUUGUCCCCUCCUUAUUUACAAAGCUUUGUUUCCAUUUUAUCCUCCUUUUCUCAGAUUUUCUUCCCCCUUUCCCCUUCCCCAGUUCCCUUCCCUUUUGGGCAGCUGCUUCCCAUUUCACCAGAUCUCUUGUACAAUUUAGUUCUUAUUUACACUUUUGGUUUCUCACACCAGUGAGGCAAUGCAAUAUUUACACACGUGUAUACAAUUUAUUUCACUUAAGAGCACAGUCUCAGGGCCCAUCCAUUUAGCAAUAAAUGUCACAAGUUUAUCCUUCAUUAUGGCAGAGUAGUAGUCCAUUUUAUUUUAAAAAAAAAAACAUCUUUUUUAUCCAUUCCUCAGUUGACGGGCAUCUGAGUUGUUUCCAAGAUUUAGCUAUUACAAAUUGUGCUGCUAUAAACAUGGGUGUGCUUGUAUCAUUGUGGUAUGAUGCUUUUAAUUCUUUUGGGAAAAUACCCAGAAGAAGAAUAGCUGGUGAAAUGGGGCCUCUAGUCUUAGUUUUUGAGGAAUCUCCACACUGAUUUCCACAGUGGCUGCAGAAGUCUACACCCCAACAAAGUAGAGAAGGGUUCCCUUUUCCCCACAGCCCAGCCAGCAUUUGUUGUGGGUUGAUUUCAUAAUAGUCGUUCUUUCUGGAGUGAGAUGGAAUCUCAGGGUUGUUUUAAUUUGCAGCUCUUGAAUGAUCAAUGAUCCCACACUAAAUCUUAUAUUAACCUUCUGAUCUACUAUCAGAAAGUCAAAUAUGUGUUAUUUCCUCUGCUAGUUUUGAUCUUAAAAAUGUAAGGAAUUACAUCAACUGUGGUUCUGGGGGGGAGUUUUAGGGGGGUACCAGGAACCGAACUCAGGACCUCACUCUUGCCAGGCAGGAGCUGAACAUCAACUAUUUGUAACAAUUAUCCAAGCGACUAGUUUGCAGGUGUGUGGGUAAGGCCAUUCCAAUUACCAUCUAGAAUAAAUAUUUUUAAAUCAUUAUUCUAGAAAAACAUGAUGCACGAAAAAGAAAAGGAACCAGGUGUGGUGGCACAUGCCUGAAAUCCAAGCUCCUGGCAGACUGAGGCAGAAGGAUCACCAUGAGUUUGGGACCGGCAUGGGCUCCAUAGUGAGCUCAAGGCCAGCCUGCACUGCAUAAAGCAAGAUUCUGUCUCAAAAAAUCAAAAAAAAAAAAAAAAUCAAGAAGAUAUUGAUAAUGACAGAUUACAACACAAAAGUAUAAAAUUCCAGGAAAAAGCAAUGAAGUUAACGCCCCCAAAACUCUUCACUGAAAUAGGUUUCAUGUGACUUUGUGCUACCCCGAACCCUCAGAAGUGUCUAACUACACCUGCGAGCCGAGCACAGUGCCACGUCUGUAGCCCCAGCUACUCGGAAGGCUGUGGCAGGGUAACGCGAGCCCAGCAUGAGCAAAACACAAAAACUACAUCUCCAAAACUAAAUACACACACACACACACACACACACACACACACACACACACGCAACACCAACUUCUGUGUAAAGUUCUAAUUCUUGGGAAAAGAACUAACCUUAUAGAGAAGUAACCACAUCUUUUGACCAAAAAAGUUAAUGGUUUGACAAGAGACUUUCUUGAGUUGCUGUGGGUAUGACAGAAUCCAGGACCUAUAAUUUGGAUGCCAAAAUAUUAGAAUUACUGGACUAUUUCCUUAGAUCGAUGAAUGACAGGACAAAACACUGGGGUUUUUUGCAAUGUUUUAUUGUGUUUUGUUUUAUUUUGUUUUUUGAGAUAGGGUCUUGCUGUGUAGUUGAAGCUGGCCUUGAGCUCACUGUGUAAUCCAAGCUGGCCUCAAACUCAUGGCAAUCCUUCUGCCUCAGCCUUCCAAGUGCUAGGAUUACAAGCAUGUAAUAGUGUUAAGUAGAUCUGUCCUAGAAAAUUAAAACUUAUACCAACUCUUACUAUUACAAUGUCACACACUGCAAAUGACAGUAUAAACUGGCACCUCUGAUGGAAUACAGUGUAGGAACAGGGCCUGGCAUGGUGGCACACCCCUGUAAUCCUAGCAUUCUGGGAAGCUGAGGCAG
Molecule: long non-coding RNA, 7049 nt
Filed under: Chinchilla lanigera (long-tailed chinchilla)
Lineage: Eukaryota; Metazoa; Chordata; Mammalia; Rodentia; Chinchillidae
Description: lncRNA (ENSCLAG00000022796.1)
Source: RNAcentral